UACGUAGGGUGCAAGCGUUAAUCGGAAUUACUGGGCGUAAAGCGUGCGCAGGCGGUUCUAUAAGACAGAUGUGAAAUCCCCGAGCUCAACUCGGGAACUGCGUCCGAUACUGGCAGGCUUGAAUCCGGGAGAGGGAUGCGGAAUUCCAGGUGUAGCGGUGAAAUGCGUAGAUAUCUGGAGGAACACCGGUGGCGAAGGCGGCAUCCUGGACCGGCAUUGACGCUGAGGCGCGAAAGCCAGGGGAGCAAACGGG
RNAcentral lists this ribosomal RNA (253 nucleotides) under uncultured bacterium. RNAcentral's name for it is "partial 16S ribosomal RNA". It matches the Rfam family "Bacterial small subunit ribosomal RNA", at positions 524 to 776 of the family's 1533-position model. The record is from RNAcentral.